ACGCUCGACACCUACUGGAGGCAGCAGUGGGGAAUAUUGCACAAUGGGGGAAACCCUGAUGCAGCGACGCCGCGUGAGCGAAGAAGUAUCUCGGUAUGUAAAGCUCUAUCAGCAGGGAAGAAGAUGACGGUACCUGACUAAGAAGCACCGGCUAAAUACGUGCCAGCAGCCGCGGUAAUCUGAGGCGGGCUGGCAAGGC
RNAcentral lists this ribosomal RNA (199 nucleotides) under uncultured bacterium. RNAcentral's name for it is "partial 16S ribosomal RNA". It matches the Rfam family "Bacterial small subunit ribosomal RNA", at positions 328 to 539 of the family's 1533-position model. The record is from RNAcentral.